CGGGGUGUCUCGGCGUUUCUGGGGGCUGGGAGCGGUUUGCGUGGCUCCGCGGUGUCCCCCUGGAAUCCUGCCCUUUGUUCGAGUGUUAACUCGGCUGGCUGCUGCAGGGGUGAAGCGCUCAUAAAUACUUUUUCCUCUCUGUAGUAUAAAUUUUUGUUUUGUUUCCAGAGAACCUGUAUUUCCUUACUGCAGAGCAUAAUAGGAAGUUUUUGGUGAUUUCUGAGAUGCAGGGUGAUGCUCACUCUUUUUGUUUGAGGGACAGCUGUUUCUACUGAAAAAUCAGUUCUUCCUAAAGCUUGGAUAGCCACUGAUGGGUUUCUACGAGAAAAGUACACUUGUAAGAACUGGUUGUGUGAACAUCUGUUAGUGCUGAGCUGGUGACUAGUACCAGAGUUCAGACUCAAAGCCUGACUUUGACUGUUCUGUUAAAACAUGUAGCAGGGCUCACCCAGAGGGAUUUUCUUUCUGUGACUUCUCUAGGCACAGAGACAAGCCGCAGGAUGGAUUUUCUCCUGGCACAUCCUGAGUUUCUCACCCAGCUCUUCCCAACAGCCAGAAUUUUUGCAUUGCGUUAUAGAACAACUGAAGAAAAGGCCUAUGUAAUCACAGCUGCUGCCAAAACAUGAAACAGAAUUCAUGGGUGUCUGUCACCUACCAGAUAAAGAAGAUGAAACAGCCUAUCCACAGCAAACCUGACAAGUACACUAGAUCUCCGCUAUAUCACGAGCAUUUGGUUGAAGAUGAGCAUUCAGGUGUCUCUUCCCAUGCACAGAACAAGGUAUUUAAUCAGUACCCAGCCCCUUUGUGUUGUAGGGAAGCCCUAGUACAGCUGCUGAUCUCUGCAGUGGAUUGUUAGCAAGAGUGCUGUAUCUCAGUUCCCAGCUGCAAAGCAGACUCCUUUACAUCCACUUUUAGAAUGAUGAGCUGCUUCAUCAUGCUGCUUUGAUGCUUCAGCGUGAGCUCUGAGCAGGCCUGCUAGCCCCGUAGCCACUGGUUGAACGCCAGUAAUUCAUGGGCCAAGGCAGUUGUGUGUUACGUUCCACUGAUAUGUGUUUCAGCCUAGUGUCAGGCUUCUGGGAAAAGAAAUGUACAGAAUUCUGAAUCUGUGCACUUCAGGGGCAGUAAAUUGAGAAGAAUGGCUGAGUGACUGAAUUCCACAUGACUUCUAUUCACAUUUGUCUUCUGUGUAUUUUUUUAUUCUCUCUCAUUCCAGACUCACCCCCUAGAGAAAAGUAUGACUGCAGUGUACUGUAUUUCAUGAGUGGUGAUAUAUUCAAUAAAAAUAAAAAUUCACACUGUGGAAGUGGGCUU
RNAcentral lists this long non-coding RNA (1311 nucleotides) under Athene cunicularia (burrowing owl). Its description in RNAcentral is "lncRNA (ENSACUG00000005796.1)". Lineage: Eukaryota; Metazoa; Chordata; Aves; Strigiformes; Strigidae. The record is from RNAcentral.